RNAcentral lists this long non-coding RNA (200 nucleotides) under Elaeis guineensis (African oil palm). RNAcentral's name for it is "long non-coding RNA (EGUI_LNC031602)". The record is from RNAcentral. Lineage: Eukaryota; Viridiplantae; Streptophyta; Magnoliopsida; Arecales; Arecaceae.
UUGGAUCUAGACUUCUUCUAAAUCUCAAAGAAAAAAUCUUGUUGCACGAAUACUUUGCACUGAUCUGACGGGAUCUGAAUAGGAUGUCAAGAAGAGGAAGAAGAAUCCUUCUUCUUCUCUUCUUCCCUCUUUAAUCUCUCUCUCUCUUAGAUCUGAUCUAUGGAGAAGAGGUGGGGUGUUGGGAUGAAGAAGGAGGGGCG